Molecule: ribosomal RNA, 404 nt
Filed under: uncultured bacterium
Lineage: Bacteria
Description: partial 16S ribosomal RNA
Rfam family: Bacterial small subunit ribosomal RNA
Source: RNAcentral
AUUGAACGCUGGCGGCAGGCCUAACACAUGCAAGUCGAGCGAGCGGCGGACGGGUGAGUAAUGCCUGGGAAUUGCCCAGUCGAGGGGGAUAACAGUUGGAAACGACUGCUAAUACCGCAUACGAGUGGAGUGCCCCGGUGGGAUUGGCUCGUUGGUGAGGUAAUGGCUCACCAAGGCGACGAUCCCUAGCUGGUCUGAGGGGAUGAUCCGCCACACUGGAACGGAGACACGGUCCAGUCUCCUACGGGAGGCAGCUGUGGGGAAUAUUGCACAAUGGGGGAAACCCUGAUGCAGCCAGGCCGCGUGUGUGAAGAAGUCCUUCGGGUUGUACAGCACUUUCAGCGAGGAGGCGUUACUCGCAGAAGAAGCACCGGCUAACUCCGUGCCAGCAGCCGCGGUAAUUC